AAAAUCUUCUUUUAAAGGAACUUGUUUUUUAAUCGACAAUACCCGCUAAUUUUCNCCUUACUAUUAAAGCUUAUAUNCCGCCGUUUAAAACCACUUUAAAUACUAUCAUUAAAAUAAAAUUUAAAAAUUCAGGUCAAGGGGUAGCCCACACUAAGAGACAAAAUUAGUUACUUUUAAAAAAAAUUUAUAGAAAAUAUAUAAAUUACAAUAAAAAAGGAUUUAAAUUCAAUUUAUUAAUAAUAAUAANAAAUGAAAUUACACCAUU
This 265-nucleotide ribosomal RNA is filed under the name Parachtes sp. crba001307. RNAcentral describes it as "partial 12S ribosomal RNA". Lineage: Eukaryota; Metazoa; Arthropoda; Arachnida; Araneae; Dysderidae. The record is from RNAcentral.